GAUGAACGCUGGCGGCGUGCCUAAUACAUGCCAGUCGAGCGAACGGACGAGAAGCUUGCUUCUCUGAUGUUAGCGGCGGACGGGUGUGUAACACGUGGAUAACCUACCUAUAAGACUGGGAUAACUUCGGGAAACCGGCGCUCAUACCGGAUAAUAUUUUGAACCGCAUGGUUCAAAAGUGAAAGACGGUCUUGCCGUCCCUUAUAGAUGGAUCCGCGCUGCAUUAUCUAGUUGGUAAGGUAACGGCUUACCCAGGCAACGUUGCAUACCCGACCUGAGAGGGAGAGCGCCCACACUGGAACUGAGACACGGUGCAGGCACCUACGGGGGGCAGCCGUAGACAAACUUCCGCAAUGGGCGCAGGCCUGACGGAGCAGCGCCGCGUGAGUCAUGAUGGUCUUCGGAUCGUAAAACCCUGUUAUUAGGGAAGAACAAGUGUGGAAGUAGCUGUGCACGCCCUGACGGUACCUAAUCAGAAAGCCGCGGCGAGCUACGUG
RNAcentral lists this ribosomal RNA (497 nucleotides) under uncultured bacterium. RNAcentral's name for it is "partial 16S ribosomal RNA". It matches the Rfam family "Bacterial small subunit ribosomal RNA", at positions 28 to 507 of the family's 1533-position model. The record is from RNAcentral.